AGCGAACGCUGGCGGCAGGCCUAACACAUGCAAGUCGAACGAACUCUUCGGAGUUAGUGGCGGACGGGUGAGUAACACGUGGGAACGUGCCUUUUGGUUCGGAAUAACUCAGGGAAACUUGUGCUAAUACCGAAUGUGCCCUUCGGGGGAAAGAUUUAUCGCCAUUAGAGCGGCCCGCGUCUGAUUAGCUAGUUGGUGAGGUAACGGCUCACCAAGGCGACGAUCAGUAGCUGGGCUGAGAGGAUGACCAGCCACACUGGGACUGAGACACGGCCCAGACUCCUACGGGAGGCAGCAGUGGGGAAUCUUGCGCAAUGGGCGAAAGCCUGACGCAGCCAUGCCGCGUGAAUGAUGAAGGUCUUAGGAUUGUAAAAUUCUUUCACCGGGGACGAUAAUGACGGUACCCGGAGAAGCAGCCCCGGCUAACUUCGUG
Molecule: ribosomal RNA, 433 nt
Filed under: uncultured bacterium
Lineage: Bacteria
Description: partial 16S ribosomal RNA
Rfam family: Bacterial small subunit ribosomal RNA
Source: RNAcentral